RNAcentral lists this long non-coding RNA (12681 nucleotides) under Setaria italica (foxtail millet). RNAcentral describes it as "long non-coding RNA (SITA_LNC000893)". The record is from RNAcentral. Lineage: Eukaryota; Viridiplantae; Streptophyta; Magnoliopsida; Poales; Poaceae.
CUGGAGAUUCGCCCGAGAACAACCCUGCCUGUACUUCUCAGGCGUCUCCUCCACUUACCAGACCACAAGAGGAAGGUCAAGGUGCCUGCAGCAGUGAAGGUUUGCAUCAUGGAAGUUGUAAGAAGCACUAGAAAUGGAGACCUUAGCAAUGGCACAGCAUCUCUCCGCUGCCGGGGCCAAGUUGGUGAAGUGCUCCUCUGGGCUUGCAACAACAAGAGUACGUCUUAUACCAUACUGACAUGGCACAUCGCCACAAGCAUCCUCGAGGUCAGGUACCCACACCGGCUUGAUCAACAACAAGGUUCUUCUUCUCCAAUUCCGAACACGGACUAUAAGAUCGUUGCCACUCACCUAUCAAGGUACUGUGCUUACCUUGUGACAUGGUGCCCUGAGUUACUCCCUGAUGAUGAUGCAUGGAGCAGGAGCCUGUACGAGGAUGUCAAGAAGGAUGUUGAGCGUGUACUUGCCGGCUGCACAGCAGGAGACUCACUGACGCCAGAAGCAAAUUGCCAACAGCUGAUCGAAGUGCUGAGUGCAGAUGCGAAGCAUGAAGUGCUCAAGGAAGGCGCUAGGCUUGGAAAGCAGUUGUUGGCGCUGGUGGUCGAAGGUGAGGACGAUACAGCGGCGUGGAAGUUACUGGCUGAAUUUUGGUCGGAGAUGAUCGUGUAUGUCGCGCCAUCCGACAACCUCAAAGGUCAUUCGGAGGCCAUCGCCAGGGGUGGCGAGCUGAUAACUCUGCUCUGGGUGUUGCUCUUCCAUGCUGGGAUCCUUAGUAGGCCAGGUGAGGACGAUGGCGUUGCUCCUACUUCUGCUGGCGUGGUUUAGUAGAGUCUCCUAUGUUUGGAACUACUGUUUCCUCCUUGUUUCGGAUUCUUCAUCGUUGAGUUCAUUUCAUAUACCAGAAUUUGUUAACUUGUGGCAGCAUGUGACUCCAUCUUGGUAAUCAGAUGAUCAAUUGUAACAAGUCUAUUUAGAGGUCCUAUAAUAUUGUCGAGACUCGAUAUUCAGAUGUAAUGUUAAAUAUUUCUACGUAUUGUAUUGUGAUGAAUAUAUAUGUUUCAAUUUGGUAUUGUAAUGAAGUGCUAGUAUAUUACACUAUUACUAAUUGGAGGUUCCUAAAUCCUCGCGAUGUGCUCUAGAAAAAUAGAUAAAUCUUAUAAAUUCCCACAAAAUUAAAAUUAGAAACAUCCAACCGUCAAUCCAGUAGACUCUAAUCGUAAUAGCCAUCGGAUCUAUUAUGUUAUCGAAAAACAUAAUCACAUCCCUCAUUAUAAUAAUAGCCUCAUUAUAAUAAUAGUAUAAAGUAACUCCUAAUUCUAUAUCGAAAUUUCCCACCUCUAGCAUAGGUGGGUAAUUUAUAUGGUUGGCAUCAUAACGAUACAUCCAGUUUGUAGCUGUGAAUCUAUUGAGCCGGUUAUGAUGCUGGAACACAACCAGUGGUAGAAGAUGGAACAAAUUUAGGAGUACGGAAUAAAUUUAAGGUCUGACAAAAUCAAAAAUUGAAAGUAACCAAAAAGAUAUCCUUUUCAUUAAUAGCACGAAACAGUGAAGGACGGAAUAAAUUGCAACCUCGAUGAUCAAACAUUUAGGAGAUAAUAGCUGCAGGUCAAGAGAUGAUCAAACAUUUAGGAAACAACACAUGAAAUGCACAGCCACCGAUUGACCAAAACAAAAAGGAAAUUAAAAUGAAUGCCUAAUGAUUUGAUUUCAAAUAAAAAAUGCUAAAAAUGAAAAUUUGCAAUUUGUACCUCUCAAUUCAGCCUUGCCCUUGCCCUUACCCUUGGACUCCAUUUUAGCCUGUGCACUUCGGAUUCCCUGCGUUGUACGCUGCUUCUUGUAACACCAAUGGUGUUUACUAUAAAUUAAACCUUACUUAAGCACUAAUGAGGAGAAAUAAAAAGGAAAAGAGAAAAGAAAAGGAGAAAUACAGAAAAGAAGACUUGGUCAAACAAGGUUGAAUUAGAGACUUGACUAAGUCAACCAUGGUCAAAUUAAGUCAAAAAGGUGAAUUUGGAUCAAUUGUGACAAAUGGAGUGGAUUAAAUUCAAAUCCAGUUUGAAUUUUUAAAUUUAAACUUGAUUUGGAAAGAGGAGUCAAAUGUGGUCAAGUACCCAUGUUUGAGUGCUGUUUCAAAAGGAUUUUAUAUAACAACUUUGGAAAAUAUUCUACUAAGAGUUUGAGUAUAAUGUGUAUAGAACAAUUUGGACUUGAUGUGGUUCACAGAAAAUGGAAUUUGGGUAAUUUAAUUGAGGCUCAAAGUUUGAACUAUGUGCUGUUUGGAGACUUAGGCAGAUUCUCAAUUCAGUGUCUGUAACUGAAACUCAUAUUCAGUUCAUAAUCAAAUCUUCAGAACUCUUAAUCUCUCAAACCGUGGAUCCUUUGAACAAAGUUCAUAUCUAUCAUUUGUAUACCUAUGUUACAUCUACAUUUUUGUUUAUUGGUGCUUGAAGAGAUUGUGUUUGGUUCGGAUGAAUUUAUCUUAAGAAAUAAGGAAUGUUUCUGUGUACCGAAGCCAAAACAUACAACGGUAAGGGUGCCUUUGGUUGGACUUUCCAACCUACUUUUGCAAGUCAAAAGCCAACCAAAGGACCUAAAAACCACAUAUAGUUUAGGUUAAAAGCUGCUUUUGCUCUAGGGUGUGUUUGAUUGGGCUGUGGCUUUUGGAAAAGCUGUUGUGAGCUGUAGGCUGUAGAAAAGCAGUUGUGAGAAAGUAGCUGUGGGAAAAGCAGACUGUGAAACUGUAGGUUGUGUAAGAAAUACAUAUAAUGUCCCUAAAGGUUUGAGGGUCUGUUUAUAUGCAAAUUGUUCGUAACAAAAUAUUGUGUUUACUAAUUUGCAUGUAAAUGAGUACUUUAGAAAGAAAAAAAAUAAAAUUUAUAUGUUCUUCAUCCAUCAAAGUAAUUGGUCCACAUAAAUAGAACAAUAUUCAUCAAAAGACUUAUACAAUGAUGCUAUCCCUCAACAUUACUGUCCUCUUCUCACACUAACCAAAGCAUCAGCUAUCGUAGUACGAAUGGUAUUCAUGGUAUCAUUCUCCACACGUUUCUCAUCUUCGGAGUCUUCGGAUAUGACUAUUUAUUGACGAAAUAUUUUUUAUUUCCAUAACCAUAUCCAUUAGUGGGUCCCAAUUAUCAUUGUUGGUGCCUAUCGUUUCUUUUUUUCUUUUUGCUUCGACUGUAUCUUCUAGCAUUGGACGAGCAUCGUCUCCCAAGCUUAGUCCCAGGAUGGAGAGGAGCUUGAGCUUGCCUGGGCCAUAGCCGCCCAAUGUGAGCUUUGCCUGCGCCAUGGCUGCCCAGCUCGAGCUUGCCAACGCCAUGGCCGCCCAGCUUGAAGACGAAGUACAACACCUUGGUGCACAGUAGGAAGUUGCGCUCGACGGUGAAGACGAUGAGCGUGACGAGCCACUAGCUGAGAAGGUGGCCGGAGAAGGUGGCCGGAGAAGAUGGCGGUGACCAUGACACAACACUUCUAGAUCUCCAGCCCCAACAGGAUGCGCCCCCCGCAGGGGCCGCACGACGACGCUGACGACGAGCAGCGCGAGGACGAGGACGAGCACGGAGAGCUCAAGGCCGAGGCGCGCCUGGCGGUGGCACCGUGCCGCGAAGGCGGGUCUCCGGGAGCCGUCCCUGUUGCGGAAGAGGUCCUCCUUGUGGUCGGCAAUCCAUCCGAGCUACAAUCCAUCGUCAGCAAUGCAUCAUUAAGAAAAAUGGUAUCUGGAAAAGAUAUGGGUAGUUUAUUGUCAGUGCAGAAGAUCUGAGCUACAAGGUUUAGAGGAAGGCAGGUCUCGUAGUGCCGCUGUUGUAGAUAGGUCUAUUUUACAUCGCUAUUGGCUUCUUCAUUGUUAUUGAGGUUAUUGCUGGGUUACAAUCUAUGGUUCUGGUUUUUGUCGGACCAGCUACAGUAAGAUUGCAUCGACUUCUUUCAGUGUACCGAUCAUAAGAUCUAGUAAAAUUCACUUGAAAUUACACGCAAAUCGGCAAAUGUUCUGUAUUUUGUCAAAGAAGAAAAAGGAAGUUGUGUUACAGGAUAACGACUAUAAUUUUACUGGGGCAAGAAAUUAGACAUGCCGAAUUUUUACCACAUAUUGUUUGCACAUUUCAUUGCCAAAAAAAGGCAUUGAUCAGCCCCAUCUAAACGUUUUAAAUAAAUGAAUGCAACACAUAGCGUUCAUCUGAUACUGUUGUAAUAUGUAUCUGCCAUCUUCUAAAUCUCAACUAAAAACUUACAUCCCUAGUCAUUGCAAUAGCAACCUGUCUCUAUCAUCCUCAGUGCAUCAAGUAACAGACAUCAGGAAUGCACCACCACUCGCUAUCAUCUUAGCCGUAUGAUUCUAAAUUUCUAAUUAAUUACUCCCUCUGUCCCAAAAGACUAUUCGUUUAGUCUCCAAAACUUGUCCUAUAAAGAGUGUUUUAUAACUUUCAGACCAUCCAACAAAGGCCUUCAUAAAACCUUCUGGCCCAGUGAACGAAUCGAUCAAUUACUCCCAUCAUCGAUGCCCGAUCCAGACUCGCUAAAUAAGGAAGGCUAAUAGGUUCGACAAUUACUAUAAGCGUGCAUGCAUAAUUAAUUAUACUUGGCAAUCCAUCCGAUUAAGAAGAAUUAUUAGAGGUACUUUGAACUUCUAGUAUUUCUACUAUCUUGUCUAAAAUUUUUUAAACGUCUUUGUGGGACGGAGCGAGUAGGCGCCUCUAGUUGUUGAAUUAUAUUUGUUUAUGAAAAAAGGCAAUCACCCAGCAUAUAGUGCCUACAUUUAUUUCUUACAGUGACAAAUAUUAUUUGCAUCACACAGCCUUUUAAUUUUCUGAUUCAUUCACCAAUUAUUAACCACUGUGCACGAACCGCCUAAUAACCCGGAUCAGCUCGUCCGAGGCCUCCCCGCACGGCUCCGUGACGAAGAAGGCGUGCCCCUGCCCCUCGAACACGACGAGCUCGACCUCCUUGCCGGCCGCCCUCAGCCUCGCGACGUACUCCCCGACGCGGUCGUGGAGCACGUCCUGGUCGGGAUCGAGGACGAGCACCGGCGGGAAGUCGCCGCCGAGGUCGCCGAACGGGACGCUCCCCGGCGCGAGCGGGUUCGCGAUCGGGUGGUCCUUGGUGGCGCCCGCCGGCAGCGCCAGGCGCCACAACUGGUCGAACAGCGCCAUGCCCAUGGGCUCGCCGGGCUGGGACGCCGCCUCGGACGGCGUCAGCUCCUCGCCGCCGAAGUAGGGCCAGAGCAUCACGCAGCCGGCGAGCCGGAGCGGGGUGAGUGGGAGCUCCCCGGACCCGUGGCGCACAGAGAUGUGGUGCGCAAUGUUGCCGCCGGCCGAGUCGCCGGUGACGAACACCCGGCGGAAGUCGGCCGACUCGGCGAGCCACAGGUCGGCGCCGGCGCCGGACGCGGCGGCGGUGGCCUGGGAGCGGAGCCAGGAGAAGACGGACUCGGCGUCGUCGAGCGCGGCGGGCAGGCGGUGCUCGGGCGCGAGGCGGUAGUCGGCGGAGAGCACGACGGCGGGCAGCUCGGCGGCGAGGCGGAGCGCGCCGGCGUGGAAGUUGAUCACCUCGAAGCUGGCGACGCAGAAGCCGCCGCCGUGGAAGUACACGAGCACCGGCAGCUUCUUCUCCUCCAACCCGCCGCCAGCGCCGGCGGUGGAGAGCCGGUACAUGCGGAGCCGGAGGCCGUGCGCGCCGUCGUAGACGACGUCCUUCCACUCCACGGGCAGGUCCGGCGGCGGCACGCCGCCCACGAGCGGGAAUACCGAGUAGUCCGUGGACCGCCUCACCGUGCCGUCGCUGAGCAGCUGGACGAGGCCGAGGCAGUCCUCGACGACAUGUGGCGCUGCCGCCGAGCUUGCUGGAACGGCCGACGACAUGACAAGUUGGCUACUGAACAGCGAACACAGGAGUGUGACCGAGCAAGUCACGAAGCUUUACGGCCGAUAAAUAGCCAGGCAUGGUCGCAAGGAUGCCCUGGCCUUUUAUUUCGUUGACUUGGACUGACUACCGGACCCACCGGUAAGCGACACUAGGCUAGUCAGAGAGCCGUGCGUCGAUCAGCCGCCGUGGACUUCUCCUACCCGCGAAGUGAGAUUUUCCACGCGUGACAAGCACAAUCCGUGCCACGGAGGAUGACACGUCACUGUCUCCACGUGUCGAAUGCUCGUCGGUCACUGCAACGAAGAUAAGCUCGGAGUGAGCAGUGGCCACUGUUGGUCAAAGCGUUCCCAUCAGAUCACGGCGGCCGUGUGCAGUUGGCAGUUGCUUGUCUGAUCAUGUGACCAUGUCUAGUUCCAACCUGGGUGUUGCUCUUCCAUGCUGGGAUCCUCGGUAGGCCAGGUGAGGACGACGGCGUUGCUCCUACUUCUGCUGGCAUGGUUUAAGUAGAGUCUCCGUUAGGAACUACUGUUUCCUCCUUGUUUCGGAUUCAUCAUCUAGAAAAAAUAGAUAAAUCUUAUAAAUUCCCACAAAAUUAAAAUCCGAAACAUCCAACCGCCAAUCCAAUAAACUCUUAUCAUAAUAGCUAUUGGAUCUAUUAUGUUUACUAAAAAAUUAAUCACAUCCCUCCUUAUAAUAAUGGUAUAAAGUAACUCCUAAUUCUAUAUCGAAAUUACCCACCUCUAGCAUAGGUGGGUAAUUUAUAUGAUUGGCAUCAUAACAACACAUCCAGUUUGUAGUUGUAAAUCCAUUGAGCUGGUUAUAAUGCUGGAACACAACUAGUGGUGGAGGAUGGAACAAAUUUAGGAGUAUGGAAUAAAUUUAAGGUCUGACGAAAUAAAAAAUUGAAAGUAACCAAAAAGAUAUCCUUUUCAUUGUAAUAGCACGAAACAGUGAAGGACGGAAUAAAUUGCAAGCACGAUGAUCAAACAUUUUGUUGGCGCUAAAAGUCAGCCGAUUGACUCUUAGCGUCGGACACACGACCCGGGAGAAUCUAUUUAGCUCCUGUUCGGGUGAUCGCUCUGGUGCGGUUCGCGCGGCUUGCCAGCCAAUCUGACCUGUUGAUUGGCAAGGAAGGAAACGUGUCAAAUUCCAGGGGUUCUGAUCGGCUAAGGUUCCGAUCUCGAGGAAGCGUAUCAGCGAAUCGGCCGAUUUGCUAUGAAAAGACAAUCGGCUAUGAUACAGCCGACGAUCGUGUAGCAAUUGCGAAGAAAACUAUUUGAGUAAACUAGACAAAGCUACGAAAGCAACACUUGAAAUAGAUCUAAUCGGCUAUAUGAUAAUGAUGAAUGAAAAUAACAAUAACAAAGCCGACAAUUCAAAUCUCAAGCUGGAUAAUUGGUGAUAAAACUAGAACAAUAGAUAAAACCUAUAAUUCUAGUAAAUAUCGAUAACUGGUGAAUAAAUCUAAACGAAACGACAGCGAUGCGCCCGAAGUUAAAGCUUAGAUAUUACUCGAUAAGCGGAACUUACAGAAUCGGCCGGAGAUUGUGUCGAUGCAGCUCUGCCAACCUGCACGAACUCGUGAAAGAAGAAAUGUAUUGGCGAAGUCGCCGACUUGAAAGUAAAGUGCGAUGAAAAAGUAGAUUUGUUUGUAUUGAUUGAUGUGUUGUUUACAAAUCUCUAAAAGUGGCUAUUUAUAGCCUGUUACAACCAACUUCCUAACUGACUAGUAUCUAUCUCUAAUCUUAAACAAAAACGAAUAUUUACAAACACAACUCGUAUCGGAGUUGGUUAUUAUACUCCUGCGGACCAAUCUUUCUCUAUCUUCUUUCUCUGAUCCACUUUAAGCCCAUAUUGGCCCAAUCGCUCCAGCCUUCCAGUCGGCCGAUCUCUACCAACUCCGCCCGCCAAAAUACUGUAGCGUCAAUCAGCCGAUCCCCAACUGUAGCACCAAUUGGCCGAUUCCCAAUUGUGACCUUUUAAUCUGCUGCAUCGGCCAGUCCUUUCCUUCCUUGACGCCGAUUCCAUACGUGUCAAAAUCUGGCGUCAACACAUUUAUAAUAAGAGAUGAUCAAACAUUUAGGAAACAACACACGAAAGUGCGCAACCACCGAUUGACCAAACGGAAAAAAAUUUAAAAUGAACGCCUAAUGAUUUGAUUUCAAAUAAAAAAAAUGCUAAAAAUGAAAAUUUGCAAUCUGUUCCUCUCAAUUUAGCCUUGCCCUUGCCCUUCGACUCCAUUUUAGCCUAUGCACUUCUGAUUCCCUGCGCUGUACGUUCUUCUGUUGCCGGCCGGCCGACGGUGCACUUCGGCACCCGUACGUCGCACUGUCGCAUCUCGCCGGGCGCACCGUCGCAGCAUGACCUCGGGCCUCGACGUCGCCCGUGACCCGUGAUCGGCAAAGCGCUAAGGGUUGCGACGAGCACAAGCGCUAGGUCUCUCGUGUGGAUUUUGGGCUGCUAGUGUUUUGGGCCAUUACGCACCAGGGCAAAAAAAACAAACAAAUCAAUUGGCCCAAUGCAAAGAACACUCGGCCUUGUAACGGUUGGCAGCCUGACGUUUCCUUUCUUCUUCCUGGACCUUUUACAUUCAAUCAGUUCGUCGCUCAUACAGGCAGCCAUGACGUCCUGUGUGUAGUAGAUGCAGCAACGGAAGGGGAAUGCCAUACUGGGCACAACUGAUUCUUGAGCAACUGGGAGUGACAUGCAGUUCUGCAACAGUUCAAAUUAAAGGAACUGCAAAUAAAUGGAUGUAAAUGAAGGCAGAGAAAGAAGAAAAAGGAUCGAAUCAAAGAGAAAAAGGAAAACCCACAUGCUAUUGCUAGAAUCAAGAUCAUGGCACACAGAUGCAGCCAAAGGGUCCGAUCGAUCUGAAAAGGAGAAGGGAACUGCGUGGUGGCAUGAUCGCCCCCACAGCCCCACCUUCCAGGUGGCGAUGACAGUUUUGUGUCUCGCUCAGUCUGCGAAAGAUUAAUUGCAGCGAUCUGGGCACUAAGUAAAGAACAAGGAAACAAUUUAUCGACAAGCUAAUUUAUCGAUCAUCCUGUGACUCGUGUUUUUGUAUGUGUGAUUAGUUUUUUUUUCCUUUGUGGACAAGCUGAUUUAUCGAUCAUCCUGUGAAGAAUUCCAUUUUUCUCGAUUCAAAAGCUCAGAUGGAUUAUCUUGUUGAGUUCCGACUGUUUCCGUAUUCUCUCCAUGACUCCAAAGAGCAACAAAACCCACCACCAUAUUAACAACCAAAUAAAAACGCGUUCCGUAGAACAUACGCUUCUGUCGGUGAAACCGAAGAUGAAAGGACGAAGGAAGACGAGCAAAAAAGGAAAAGCUUUGUUUUGUGCUUUUGAGUCCCCCACCGUCAUGCAUUUGUUCCAAUUUUAUUAUAGUUUUGGUGCUGAGAAUGAUGUAAAAACUUUGUUGUGUGCGGUUGCAGAGGUUGGAAACAAUUUCCUUUUUCUAAAAUAAAAAAAUGCAUUUGCACACAGGACUCCUUUUUAGCUACGUGUUCUUUUUUUAUUUGCUUCUUUAAAACUUACCAUUGGCGGAGAAGUGGAAAUAUUAACGUGGCCUUAUUCUAACAAGCAAAUUAAUUAAGUUAACUGAACAAUCAAAUUAAUUAAGCUAAAGAAGUGACCAUGUGCGUGCAUUUCGUCUAUCUACAACGGAUCUUUUGACUUGAAACAAAAAUACCUAAAGGCAGUCAAGGUACCUUUUGGCAAGGAGACUAUCAUCAUUGCCAUAACAGAAAAUAUUUUAGGCUUAAUCUAGAUGCCCUAGGCAGUAAUAAAAGGCAGUAAUAAGGAGAUUACUUUACUAUUACUAAUUGGAUAUUCAUUUCAAAGGCCGUUAUAAAAAAAAAGUAAAUCCAAAAAAUACUCAUAAAAAUAAAAAAUAUCUGAGACCAUAUGGUAUACCCUAAUCAUUAAUGGUGGAUCCACAGAUUGUAUUGUAUGGAGCCCGAGCAGAGACUAAGACAUUUCCCUUGCUGUCUCCGGCAAACGAUGUUCCAACUAUGGAUUAAAACAACUAUCCUCUUGCAGAUGUGGCGCUGGAACCCGAGUAGCCUUGGGCCACCCCUGGUAAUCAUCAUUGAUAAAAGUAGACAUUCAAUAAUAUAUUAUGUUUUGUUUAAUAAUUACACACAUCUAUCGUUAAUUGCACUUCUAACUUUAUGACUACGACGGGCACAGCUUUGGAAAAGAAAGGAACAUAUUCGCGAGCAACCAUAUAAUAAGGAGGUAUUUUCUUCCACUAACUUAUUUUUAGCACGUGUCACAUCGAAUGUUUAGAUAUUAAUUAGGAGUAUUAAACGUAGACUAUUUACAAAACCCAUUACAUAAUACAAAACUGAACGGUAAGAGGGAUCGAUUAAGGCUAAUUAAGCCUAAUUAAUCCCAUCAUUAUCAAAUGAUUACUGUAGCAACACGAUUGUCAAAUCAUGGACUAAUUAGGCUUAAUAGAUUCAUCUCGCUGUUUAGAUUCGUCUUGUGUAAUGGGUUUUGUAAAUAGUCUACGUUUAAUACUCCUAAUUAGUAUCUAAACAUUCGAUGUGACGGUUGCUAAAAAUAAGUCAGUGGAAGAAAACGGGGCCUAAGCAUCAAAAGCAAAGAUAGGGAGCAGGAAAAAGCAAGCGCAUUCAGAAAAAAAAAAACAUAUGGAGGAAACCCAACGUACUUGGGAAGAUGAAACUGCAGGAUUGAGCACUAACCAUCCAUAAGCAAACACAUUAUUCCGAGAGCGGGCAGGCAGCCGUAUCGAACUGGCGUCAGUCAACUAGAUCUCCGCCUUACGGUAAAAUAUUUCUGUGCAUUUCUGUGUUCUGUUUAGAAUUUAGCAGAGAUUGCAUGAUGCUAGCAAGCAGUGAUACUGAUCCCAUAUGUUGAACACCUUAUAUGCCUUAGUUUCCAUUCCAGUGUGAUUAGUUCCUUAAUUUGUGUGCUUGUACCAACAACUUGCUCUAAUCUUGACAUAUGUGAAUUAAAUCAGCUGGCCCAUGGCUGGAAGGAAUUACACCAUAGACGACUGCGUCUACGCUGCACUGGGCAAAUGCUCCGCUAGGAUUACAUGCGAGGCUGAUAUGGCGUCCUCAUUCCACAAGAGCUUGGGAGAGAACAUAUGGCUUAUGAACUCACUCCUGCUCACCAGUGCCGUCCUGGCUGGAGUCAUAGCAGGGAUAGGCAUCUACGGCCAGCGCUACCGCCACCACCGCUACACCAGGUUUAUCUUCCUCGGAGCCACGACCCUAUUCUUGCCUGUCGUCUCCACUGUUGUCUCCAUGCGCACCGGGAACAGUGACCACAGCAUACAUAGGCAUGAUGAGGCCACUCAUUUGAUUGCAGACUGCGGCCCAAAAGGACUAUCGGUCCUGAUUCUAAUAUGGGCAUCCCUUGUUCAGAUCAUCAUGAUCAAUACCAGUGCAGUAGUUGCUGUCGAUGAUAGAGAAGGUGGAAACGUAGGUCCUCCAUUUGAGCUGCUUGUUCAGGGUGUCUGGAUCUUUUACCUUGGUAUCAGCAAUGUCAUUCCCGCCGCUCGCACAAAUGACAUCACGGUACUAAUUAUUGGUGCCUUUGAAGCCACACCUUUUGCUCUCACGUUUGCCAAAAUGGUAUUGAAAUAUUAUGCAUAUGAAAAGGCGCGACAAUCCUUUGGUCUCGGACGCAAUCCCCAUCUUAUUUUUGGAUACAUGAAGCAACAAUCGUUACAAGAAACAAGUCACGAUGGUGAACCAAUGGUAGCUGAGGAUGCACCUCCCCCGCUGCUGGUUAUGGGAGAAGAGAAAAGACACGUGGAGAAGCAGCCUCUUGGGUAUGUGUUCAAGGAUGACUCAUGGACAACUUCGCAUAAUAAUGGCCUGGUGACUAUUGAUAGAGUUUGGAGGAUGGAUAACGUGCUUCCAACAUCAACACUGAAACCAAAAAGACUUAUGCUUGUCAUUUGCACUGUUCAAGUUGUUGCGGUGCCGAUUUGCAAGGUACAAGGUCAGAACUGCUGCCUCUAAGGGCACCUUCAGUUUUUUCUGGAGCUUAUUGCUGAAGGAUGGCGAACAUGAUAGGGUGUUUUUGGUCAUUUCGGAUGAGCUUUCUUUCCUUCAUGAUUAUUAUUAUUCAUCCCUCCCGAUCUCCUAUUCCAAGUAUUGGUUGCCCGUUGCCGGUAUCUUGAUCUCACUACUGAGCAUAGCUUACUGUUGUGUAUUGAUGAUCGCAGUAACGCUUGUGGAAGUCCUGUCGUUGCUGGAUGAUUCAGCCAGCGGACCUCAGAUUGAGUGCACUGUUUUUUGCAUUCGAGGACCUCUGAUGAGCAAGCCCAUGGAUACAGAAUAUGGGAACUACAACUUCGAUCUGGUGCCAUUAAUUUUGCUUUCGGUGUUAGUCAUGAUGUCUGAGGUGAGGGACAUAGCUACCUACAUCUACUCCAACUGGACUAAAGUUGCCGUCACCUGCCACCUUGUAAACCAUGCCUCUUCACAGCAUUCACUUCUCAAGAAGAAAUGGAUUGGCCUUCUGCUGCGUUGUCGAUGCAAGCUGAUGAAGCAUUGGGAUGAGAAAAUAGGUCAGUGCACUAUGCUGGAGAUUUGCCCGAGAACAACCGUGCCUGUACUUCUCAGGCGUCUCCUCAACUUACCAGACCACAAGAGGAAGGUCAAUGUGCCUGCAGCAGUGAAGGUUUGCAUCAUGGAAGUUGUAAGAAGCACUAGAAAUAGAGACCUUAGCAAUGGCACAGCAUCUCUCCGCUGCCGGGGCCAAGUUGGUGAAAGGCUCCUCUGGGCUUGCAACAACAAGAGUGUGUCUUAUACCAUACUGACAUGGCACAUCGCCACAAUAAUCCUCG